Small nuclear RNA from Pseudoliparis swirei, 128 nucleotides. RefSeq annotates it as U4atac minor spliceosomal RNA. The record is from RefSeq and is a predicted model, not a curated record. The transcript has a single exon. NCBI's taxonomy places the organism in Eukaryota, Metazoa, Chordata, Actinopteri, Perciformes, Liparidae.
ACCUUCCUUGUCAUGGGGUGAGUGAGCUGCUCGAGGAACGUCUCGUGAGGGCAGCCCUGCUGGCGCCAGAAACGACACUCAAGCAUCGCCUGGGCUUCGGUCCGGGUCAUGGUGCAAUUUUUGGAACC